AGACAUUUUAUAGAUUGUGAUGUCUGAGCAAGUUUUUCUUAGGCCAUAAUCCUGUCACCUUAGGUCGAUCGGUACCUCUGAUCUAAUAAUUAAUAUUGGAUUUCAGUUCCUAAACUUGUCUAGGUCACACCCAACAAGGUUUCUCCUGGGCCAUUAGCUCAGGUGGUUAGAGCGCACCCCUGAUAAGGGUGAGGUCCCUGGUUCAAGUCCAGGAUGGCCCAUUCGUUGUUGGGGGUAUAGCUCAGUUGGUAGAGCGCCUGCUUUGCAAGCAGGAUGUCAGCGGUUCGAGUCCGCUUACCUCCACUGAAAACUACCCUGAUAACUUCAGGAGAAGAAUUAAAAAUGUGACCUUAAUUUUGUCUAUUGAGAAGAACCUAGCUUCUUAUCAUCUUUUUAUAGUUGAUAAUAUGCUGGGCUCCCAUGGAAUUAUCCAUGAGAAUUCAGUAGAACCUUGAAAACUGCAUAGAUUGAAUGAAUAAAGCAUCUCAUGGAUGCAUAGUUUUGUUUUGUUUUUUAGAUUUAAACCUAAAAAACAUCUACAUAACUCAUGUUUAAUUCUUGAGUAAAAGCCGAGCACAAUAAAUGUGCUCGAAAUUAA
Molecule: transfer RNA, 598 nt
Filed under: uncultured cyanobacterium
Lineage: Bacteria; Bacillati; Cyanobacteriota
Description: partial 16S-23S intergenic spacer
Rfam family: tRNA (bases 231-303)
Source: RNAcentral